UACGUAGGUGGCAAGCGUUAUCCGGAUUUACUGGGUGUAAAGGGCGUGUAGGUGGGGACGCAAGUCAGAUGUGAAAACCACGGGCUCAACCUGUGGCCUGCAUUUGAAACUGUGUUUCUUGAGUACUGGAGAGGCAGACGGAAUUCCUAGUGUAGCGGUGAAAUGCGUAGAUAUUAGGAGGAACACCAGUGGCGAAGGCGGUCUGCUGGACAGCAACUGACGCUGAGGCGCGAAAGCGUGGGGAGCAAACAGG
RNAcentral lists this ribosomal RNA (253 nucleotides) under uncultured bacterium. RNAcentral describes it as "partial 16S ribosomal RNA". It matches the Rfam family "Bacterial small subunit ribosomal RNA", at positions 524 to 776 of the family's 1533-position model. The record is from RNAcentral.